GAACCGACGAACCACCAAAUGGGGUACUCAGGCUAUCGAUAUACUAAUUCACCAUGAAUUGAAGUUUGGAGAUUGUUUGUUUGUAGUAAAAGGGGUGGAAAUGGCCUCAAAAGACCUUGGAGGCCCCGGCUUUGUUUGAAGAAGAUACACAGGCUGUUGUAUUUUUUGUGCAAAUUUUCCUAUGUAAAUGACCAUAUAAUUUGUAGCUGCUUAUUGCUUCUGCUGUUGUUUCCUUCAUCUUCCAAGUCAAAAAGAUGACACAUCAAUUAGUAUAAAAU
Molecule: unclassified non-coding RNA, 278 nt
Filed under: Hevea brasiliensis (rubber tree)
Lineage: Eukaryota; Viridiplantae; Streptophyta; Magnoliopsida; Malpighiales; Euphorbiaceae
Source: RNAcentral